CCUACGGGAGGCAGCAGUGGGGGAUAUUGCACAAUGGGGGGAACCCUGAUGCAGCGACGCCGCGUGGGUGAAGAAGCGCCUCGGCGCGUAAAGCCCUGUCAGCAGGGAAGAAAAUGACGGUAGCAGAGGAGGAAGCUCCGGCUAACUACGUGCCAGCAGCCGCGGUAAUACGUAGGGAGCGAGCGUUGUCCGGAUGUACGGGGUGUAAAGGGUGCGGAGGCGGCUUGGCAAGUCAGUGGUGAAAUCCAUGGGCUUAACCCAUGAACUGCUAUUGAAACUGUCCAGCUUGAGUGAAGUAGAGGUAGGCGGAAGUCCCGGUGUAGCGGUGAAAUGCGUAGAGAUCGGGAGGAACACCAGUGGCGAAGGCGGCCUACUGGGCUUUAACUGACGCUGAGGCACGAAAGCGUGGGUAGCAAACAGGAUUAGAUACCCGAGUAGUC
Molecule: ribosomal RNA, 440 nt
Filed under: uncultured bacterium
Lineage: Bacteria
Description: partial 16S ribosomal RNA
Rfam family: Bacterial small subunit ribosomal RNA
Source: RNAcentral